AACGAACGCUGGCGGCAGGCUUAACACAUGCAAGUCGAACGGUUGUAGCAAUACAGCAGUGGCAGACGGGUGAGUAACACGUGGGAACCUUCCUAGGGGUACGGAACAACUCAGGGAAACUUGAGCUAAUACCGUAUACGUCCGUGAGGAGAAAGAUUUAUCGCCCUUAGACGGGCCCGCGUCGGAUUAGCUAGUUGGUGGGGUAACGGCCUACCAAGGCGACGAUCCGUAGCUGAUCUUAGAGGAUGAUCAGCCACACUGGGACUGAGACACGGCCCAGACUCCUACGGGAGGCAGCAGUGGGGAAUCUUGGACAAUGGGCGCAAGCCUGAUCCAGCCAUGCCGCGUGAGUGAAGAAGGUCUUCGGAUUGUAAAGCUCUUUUGCCAGGGACGAUAAUGACGGUACCUGGAGAAUAAGCCCCGGCAAACUUCGUGCCAGCCGCCGCCGUAA
Molecule: ribosomal RNA, 451 nt
Filed under: uncultured bacterium
Lineage: Bacteria
Description: partial 16S ribosomal RNA
Rfam family: Bacterial small subunit ribosomal RNA
Source: RNAcentral